CACUGUACAGCUAUUCCAGCAUUAACCUUUUAAGUUAAAGAUUUGAGGGGAUACACCCUCUGCGGUGA
This 68-nucleotide transfer RNA is filed under the name Cercocebus atys atys. RNAcentral describes it as "tRNA-Lys". Lineage: Eukaryota; Metazoa; Chordata; Mammalia; Primates; Cercopithecidae. The record is from RNAcentral.